Long non-coding RNA from Trichomycterus rosablanca, 2085 nucleotides. RefSeq lists it as uncharacterized. The record is from RefSeq and is a predicted model, not a curated record. NCBI's taxonomy places the organism in Eukaryota, Metazoa, Chordata, Actinopteri, Siluriformes, Trichomycteridae. The transcript is spliced from 3 exons.
UCCAUCUGUCGUUCAUUUACAGAAGAAGAACUAACACGGCGCGGUAUAUCAAUAGCGGUAACACCUGUUUACAUUGAUGGGACUUCGUACGGCGGAAGGUUUGAAUUAAACUAAUAAAACUAAUACAACUGUACAGUGAAUGCAAAGUGGACAAUGGCAGAGGAAUCAGAUGGUUAUAUACGGGAUCAUGAGGAUUUGGAUGAAAAUGACAAUGUUCUGGGAGGAAAUUAGGAAAAAAAGCAAACUUCUAGGACACCAACAAGUAAUAUCUACAGUUCAAACACAGUGAGACAGAAUAAUGAGAACCAUAUGAGAGAGAUAACACAACAGACAAAGUAGGUGGCGGUAUGCACCAAAGAGAUGUCACCCGCCAGUAAACCAAGAAGAAGAAGAAGAAGAAGAAGAGCGAUGAUCGUAUCGCAGUAUCGAUAAACCCAACGUGACUGGUUAAGUUAUUUUGUUCAAUAAAAUUGUUCAAGCUAAACUAAAUGUUUCUUAAUGUGUACUAUUAUGUGUAUUGUGUGUACUGGUAUGUGUAUUGUGUGUACUACUAUGUUGUACAAUUUUAUGUAUGACCAAAGCAAAUUCCUGUGUAACAUACCUGGCGAAAUCAAGUGAUUCUGGUUCUGAAUGUAUUUAAGGUUAAAAAACAAAUUGCAGCGUCAUUAAGUCACUGCUGUUAUUGUAAUGAGUCACAGUGCAGGUGAUCACCAACACUACAUGCAUGAACGCUACAUUAGUGCAAAAAAUUGCAAAAAUUAGUGGUGUGCGAUACUGCAAAAUUUGCUAUUGAUCCGAUACCAAGUAAAUACAGGGCCAGUAUCGCCGAUACCGAUCCAAUACUUUUUACUUAUAAAGCAGUUUAUUUACUUUCAUGUAGGGAACAGCAGUGAGUCAUGAUUUAUGAGGUGAAUGUAUCAUCAAUUUGCUUUCACUAAUAAAUGAUUGUGUUCAUGUAAGGGUCCCGCCGGUGCAGUCGACCUCAAACAGUCAGACUCCAAACUCAACCAUGGCCAAGACCAAAGAGCUGUCGAAGGACACCAGGAAGAAAAUUGUGGUCUGCACCAGGCUGGGAAGAGUGAAUCUACAAUAGGCAAGCAGGUUGGUGUGAAUAAAUCAACUGUGGGAGCAAUUGUAAGAAAAUGGAAGACAUACAAGACCAUUGAUAAUCUCCCUCGAUCUGGGGCCCCACGCAAGAUCUCAUCCCGUGGGGUCAAAAUGAUCAUGAGAACGGUGAGCAAAAAUCCCAGAACUACACGGAGGGACCUGAUGAAUGACCUGCAGAGAGCUGGGACUAAAGUAACAAAGGCUAGCAUCAGUAACACACUACGCCGAGAGGGACUCAAAUCCUGCAGUGCCAGGCGUGUCCCCCUGCUUAAGCCAGUACAUGUCCAGGCCCGUCUGAAGUUUGCCAGAAGAGGAUUGGGAGAAUAUCACGUGGUCAGAUGAAACCAGAAUGGAACAUUUUGGUAAAAACUCAACUAGUCGUGUUUGGAGGAAGAAGAAUGCUGAGUUGCAUCCCAAGAACACCAUACCUACUGUGAAGCAUGGGGGUGGAAACAUCAUGCUUUGGGGCUGUUUUUCUGCAAAGGGGACAGGACGACUGAUCCGUGUUAAGGGAAGAAUGAACAGGGCCAUGUAUCGUGAGAUUUUAAGCCAAAACUUCCUUCCAUCAGUGAGAGCAUUGAAGAUGGAACGUGGCUGGGUCUUCCAGCAUGACAAUGAUCCCAAACACACCGCUCGGGCAACGAAGGAGUGGCUCCGUAAAAAGCAUUUCAAGGUCCUGGAGUAGCCUAGCCAGUCUCCAGACCUCAACCCCAUAGAAAAUUUGUGGAGGGAGUUGAAAGUCCGUGUUGCCCAGCGACAGCCCCAAAACAUCACUGCUCUAGAGGAGAUCUGCAUGGAGGAAUGGGCCAAAAUACCAGCUACAGUGUGUGCAAACCUGGUGAAGACUUACAGGAAACGUUUGACCUCUGUCAUUGCCAACAAAGGUUAUGUUACAAAGUAUUGAGUUGAACUUUUGUUAUUGACCAAAUACUUAUUUUCCACCAUAAUUUAUAAAAAAAAUCUUUAAAAAUCCUACAA